CCUACCUCUGCUCUUUCCAGCCCACUUCUGGUUAAGACCCUGCUGCGGACCACUUACCACACCUGUUUCUGACUUUUAGGCUUCAGACUGCAUCCCCAUUUCUCCCUUGAAGGGCAUUGGCACCCUGAGAGAGGUACAGAAAAGGCAGGAAAGCUGAGACGUAAUCUGAAGGACAUUGAGGCCCAGUUCUGAAGCGUUAACUUUCGAAUCUCCAAAUUAUGAGGCAAGAGCUGAGGUCUUCAGAACCCAGAAGGCAGAGUGG
RNAcentral lists this long non-coding RNA (262 nucleotides) under Bos taurus (domestic cattle). RNAcentral's name for it is "long non-coding RNA NONBTAT009358". The record is from RNAcentral. Lineage: Eukaryota; Metazoa; Chordata; Mammalia; Artiodactyla; Bovidae.